AACGAACGCUGGCGGCAGGCCUAACACAUGCAAGUCGAGCGCCCUUUCGGGGGAGCGGCGGACGGGUGAGUAACGCGUGGGAAUAUGCCCUUCUCUACGGAAUAGCCUCGGGAAACUGAGAGUAAUACCGUAUACGCCCUGUGGGGGAAAGAUUUAUCGGGGAAGGAUUAGCCCGCGUUGGAUUAGGUAGUUGGUAGGGUAAUGGUCUACCAAGCCGACGAUCCAUAGCUGGUUUGAGAGGAUGAUCAGCCACACUGGGACUGAGACACGGCCCAGACUCCUACGGGAGGCAGCAGUGGGGAAUCUUAGACAAUGGGGGCAACCCUGAUCUAGCCAUGCCGCGUGAGUGAUGAAGGCCUUAGGGUUGUAAAGCUCUUUCAGCUGGGAAGAUAAUGACGGUACCAGCAGAAGAAGCCCCGGCUAACUCCGUG
RNAcentral lists this ribosomal RNA (431 nucleotides) under uncultured bacterium. Its description in RNAcentral is "partial 16S ribosomal RNA". It matches the Rfam family "Bacterial small subunit ribosomal RNA", at positions 29 to 507 of the family's 1533-position model. The record is from RNAcentral.